Molecule: ribosomal RNA, 505 nt
Filed under: Flavobacterium columnare
Lineage: Bacteria; Pseudomonadati; Bacteroidota; Flavobacteriia; Flavobacteriales; Flavobacteriaceae
Description: bacterial SSU rRNA
Rfam family: Bacterial small subunit ribosomal RNA
Source: RNAcentral
UCACAACGGUAAAAGAUGAGCAUGCGUCCCAUUAGCUAGUUGGUAAGGUAACGGCUUACCAAGGCUACGAUGGGUAGGGGUCCUGAGAGGGAGAUCCCCCACACUGGUACUGAGACACGGACCAGACUCCUACGGGAGGCAGCAGUGAGGAAUAUUGGACAAUGGGCGCAAGCCUGAUCCAGCCAUGCCGCGUGCAGGAUGACGGUCCUAUGGAUUGUAAACUGCUUUUAUACGAGAAGAAACACUGCUUCGUGAAGCAGCUUGACGGUAUCGUAAGAAUAAGGAUCGGCUAACUCCGUGCCAGCAGCCGCGGUAAUACGGAGGAUCCAAGCGUUAUCCGGAAUCAUUGGGUUUAAAGGGUCCGUAGGCGGUUUAAUAAGUCAGUGGUGAAAGCCCAUCGCUCAACGGUGGAACGGCCAUUGAUACUGUUAAACUUGAAUUAUUAGGAAGUAACUAGAAUAUGUAGUGUAGCGGUGAAAUGCUUAGAGAUUACAUGGAAUACCAA